UGGGGAAUAUUGCACAAUGGGGGAAACCCUGAUGCAGCAACGCCGCGUGAGUGAUGAAGGCCUUCGGGUUGUAAAGCUCUGUCUUUGGGGACGAUAAUGACGGUACCCAAGGAGGAAGCCACGGCUAACUACGUGCCAGCAGCCGCGGUAAUACGUAGGUGGCAAGCGUUGUCCGGAUUUACUGGGCGUAAAGGGAGCGUAGGUGGAUAUUUAAGUGGGAUGUGAAAUCCCCGGGCUUAACCUGGGGGCUGCAUUCCAAACUGGAUGUCUAGAAUGCAGGAGAGGAGAGUGGAAUUCCUAGUGUAACGGUGAAAUGCGUAGAGAUUAGGAAGAACACCAGUGGCGAAGGCGACACUCUGGACUGUAACUGACACUGAGGCUCGAAAGCGUGGGGAGCAAACA
RNAcentral lists this ribosomal RNA (402 nucleotides) under uncultured bacterium. RNAcentral describes it as "bacterial SSU rRNA". It matches the Rfam family "Bacterial small subunit ribosomal RNA", at positions 355 to 774 of the family's 1533-position model. The record is from RNAcentral.